GCAUUAUACAGCGAAACUGCGAAUGGCUCAUUAAAUCAGUUAUCGUUUAUUUGAUAGUACCUUACUACUUGGAUAACCGUGGUAAUUCUAGAGCUAAUACAUGCUAAAAACCCCGACUCACGAAGGGGUGUAUUUAUUAGAUUAAAAACCAAUGCCCUUCGGGGCUCUUUGGUGAUUCAUAAUAACUUUUCGAAUCGCAUGGCCUUGCGCCGGCGAUGGUUCAUUCAAAUUUCUGCCCUAUCAACUUUCGAUGGCAGGGUCUUGGCCUGCCAUGGUUACAACGGGUAACGGAGGGUUAGGGCUCGACCCCGGAGAAGGAGCCUGAGAAACGGCUACUACAUCCAAGGAAGGCAGCAGGCGCGCAAAUUACCCAAUCCCGAUUCGGGGAGGUAGUGACAAUAAAUACUGAUACAGGGCUCUUUUGGGUCUUGUAAUUGGAAUGAGUACAAUUUAAAUCCCUUAACGAGGAACAAUUGGAGGGCAAGUCUGGUGCCAGCAGCCGCGGUAAUUCCAGCUCCAAUAGCGUAUAUUAAAGUUGUUGCAGUUAAAAAGCUCGUAGUUGAACCUUGGGCCUGGCUGGCCGGUCCGCCUCACCGCGUGCACUGGUUCGGCCGGGCCUUUCCCUCUGGGGAACCUCAUGGUCUUCACUGAUCGUGAUGGGGAACCAGGACUUUUACUGUGAAAAAAUUAGAGUGUUCAAAGCAGGCCUAUGCUCGAAUACAUUAGCAUGGAAUAAUAAAAUAGGACGUGUGGUUCUAUUUUGUUGGUUUCUAGGACCGCCGUAAUGAUUAAUAGGGACAGUCGGGGGCAUCAGUAUUCAAUUGUCAGAGGUGAAAUUCUUGGAUUUAUUGAAGACUAACUACUGCGAAAGCAUUUGCCAAGGAUGUUUUCAUUAAUCAGGAACGAAAGUUAGGGGAUCGAAGACGAUCAGAUACCGUCGUAGUCUUAACCAUAAACUAUGCCGACUAGGGAUCGGACGGUGUUACUUAUUGACCCGUUCGGCACCUUACGAGAAAUCAAAGUCUUGCU
RNAcentral lists this ribosomal RNA (1029 nucleotides) under Neopestalotiopsis brachiata. Its description in RNAcentral is "SSU rRNA". It matches the Rfam family "Eukaryotic small subunit ribosomal RNA", at positions 71 to 1113 of the family's 1831-position model. The record is from RNAcentral. Lineage: Eukaryota; Fungi; Ascomycota; Sordariomycetes; Amphisphaeriales; Sporocadaceae.